AACCAGCACCUCAAGUGGUCAGGAUGAUUAUUGGGCCUAAAGCAUCCGUAGCCGGCUCUGUAAGUUUUCGGUUAAAUCUGUACGCUCAACGUACAGGCUGCCGGGAAUACUGCAGAGCUAGGGAGUGGGAGAAGUAGACGGUACUCGGUAGGAAGUGGUAAAAUGCUUUGAUCUAUCGAUGACCACCUGUGGCGAAGGCGGUCUACUAGAACACGUCCGACGGUGAGGGAUGAAAGCUGGGGGAGCAAACCGG
RNAcentral lists this ribosomal RNA (253 nucleotides) under uncultured archaeon. RNAcentral's name for it is "partial 16S ribosomal RNA". It matches the Rfam family "Archaeal small subunit ribosomal RNA", at positions 474 to 727 of the family's 1478-position model. The record is from RNAcentral.